This 305-nucleotide ribosomal RNA is filed under the name uncultured bacterium. RNAcentral describes it as "bacterial SSU rRNA". It matches the Rfam family "Bacterial small subunit ribosomal RNA", at positions 334 to 636 of the family's 1533-position model. The record is from RNAcentral.
UUUUCCUACGGGAGGCAGCAGUGAGGAAUAUUGGUCAAUGGGCUUACGCCUGAACCAGCCAAGUCGCGUGAGGGAAGACUGCCCUAUGGGUUGUAAACCUCUUUUGUCAGGGAGCAAUUGGCGCUACGUGUAGCGUUAUCGAGAGUACCUGAAGAAAAAGCAUCGGCUAACUCCGUGCCAGCAGCCGCGGUAAUACGGAGGAUGCGAGCGUUAUCCGGAUUUAUUGGGUUUAAAGGGUGCGUAGGCGGGCAUUUAAGCCGGCGGUCAAAUGUCGGGGCUCAACCCCGGCCUGCCGUCGGAACUGG